AGUGAACGCUAGCGGCAUGCUUUACACAUGCAAGUCGAACGCCCAACUACAGAAUUUACUAUUAUAUAAAUUGUCUUAACCUUUUAUAUUUUGGUAACUUGUGUAGUUGGGAGUGGCAAACGGGUGAGUAACAGGUAGGAACUUACCCUAUGGUGGGGAACAACCAUUGGAAACGAUGGCUAAUACCGCAUAUUCCGGCAACGGGAAAGGCUUCGGCCGCCAUAGGAUAGGCCUGCCCCUGAUUAGCUUGUUGGUAAGGUAAUGGCUUACCAAGGCGACGAUCAGUAGCUGAUUUGAGAGAAUGAUCAGCCACACCGGGACUGAGACACGGCCCGG
RNAcentral lists this ribosomal RNA (336 nucleotides) under uncultured bacterium. Its description in RNAcentral is "bacterial SSU rRNA". It matches the Rfam family "Bacterial small subunit ribosomal RNA", at positions 29 to 334 of the family's 1533-position model. The record is from RNAcentral.